GUAACUACAGAAAUAAAAAGUGACACGUGGAUGUGUUCAUGAAAAUUUGAUAUGUGAGAUUUUGCCCACAUGAUGCUUCAUGCUGCGUUUUGCUCAGGCACCUAUAUUGAUGAAAUGGCAAAGAUGUUCUCUUUGAUUGUUUUCUUCUUGCUUCUGAAGCUUUCCUUUCUUUUUUGCAGUUUGAGUGACCCCAGGUGCUUUUGGAGAAUAAAAGACAGAGAAAAUUAUCUAGGAGAUAAGGAGGCUGAUUGUUUCUUUUCCAUUUAUACAAAGCGUGGUUAUGUGAAGAAUGAUUACUUCAGUGAGAAUCUAGACAAGAAGGUGACACGUAAGACCAUCCACUUGAUUUCCUCUCUUUAUUUUGCCAUUGAAGAAAUCAAUAGGAAUAUUCAUAUUUUACCCAACAUUUCCCUAUUAGUUAAGAUCGAAUGUAACUUAAUUGUGGAUAAUGAGGAAAGAGUUUGGUCCAUGAAAAGAAAGGAAAUUAUUCCUAAUUUCUACUGUAAAAAUCAGAGAAGAUAUUUAAUUGUACUUACGGGACCUCUAUGGAUAACAUCUUACAGACUUGGGCCAUUGCUAUACUUCUCCAGAACUCCAGAGCUUUACUCUGGUUAUUUUCAUCUCAUAAGUGACCAGGAACAGUUUCCUCAUCUCUACCAGAUGACUCCCAAAGACACAUCUCUACCACUAGCCAUGGUGUCCAUAGCAGUUCACUUCAGAUGGAACUGGGUAGGAGUCAUCAUUACAGAUGAUGACCAUGGAAUUCAAUUCCUUGCUGAAUUGAGAGAAGUAAUGAAAAGAAACACUGUCUGCAUAGCAUUUGUUACUACUAUCACUUAUAAUCGGAUAUUAUACUUAAAAAUGAUUCAUAAAUAUUAUCACCAAAUCAUAAUGUCAUCAGCAAAAGCUGUGAUUGUCUAUGGGGAUAAAGAAUCUCCUGUACAAUUUAAUUUUAUUCUAUGGAAAUCUAAAGACAUUCAAAGACUCUGGGUCAGUGUGUCACAAUUUGAUAUGAUCACAAUGACAGGAAAUUUCAUGCUUAACUCCUUGCAUGGGACUCUUAUUUUUUCACACCAACAGUCUGAGAUGUCCGGUUUUAAACAAUUUAUUCAAACAGUGCACCCUUCUAAUUACAGUAAUGACAUUUCUUUUGCUAAACUGUGGUGGACUUACUUUAAGUGUUCUUUGACACCACCUGAUUGUAAAACACUGAAGAAUUGUCCAACCAAAACUUUAUUUCAAUGGUUUUUUGUGCCAUCCCUUGGAAUGUCUAUGAGUGAAACAUGUUACAACUUAUACAAUUCUGUGUAUGCUGUUGCCCACUCACUUCAUGAGAUGCUUCUACAAUAUGUAGACACACGCUCAGAGAAUGAUGGAAAGGUACUGGAAUUUAACUCCUGGAAGAUGUUCUCUUUUCUGAAGACCAUACAGUUUGUAAAUCCUGCUGGAGACCUAGUGAACAUGAACGAGAAAAAAAAAACUGGAUACAGAGUAUGACAUUUUCUACAUCAUGGAUUUACUAAAAAACUAUGGAAUUAAAAUGAAAAUAGGACGAUUUUCUGGUCACUUUCCAAACGGUCAACAACUGUUUAUGUCUGAUGAUAUAAUAGAGUGGGCUACAGAUAUCAAUCAGAAUUCAGCCUCCAUAUGUAGUGUGCCUUGCAGACCAGGACUCAGAAAAUACUUUCAGGAGGGAAAGGCUGUUUGCUGUUUUGAUUGUUACCGCUGCCCAGAAAAUGAAAUUUCAAACAUGACAGCCUUAACGGAGGAAUUGGUUUUGUAGUUGUAUCCAUCUGACUGAAUUCUAAAACUCUAAAUUUUUACUGACAAUGAUAUUCUCUAAUGAUGUCUUUUUCAAUGACAUGGAACAAUGCAUGAAGUGCCCAGUAGAUGAAUAUGCAAACACUGAUCAAACUAACUGCUUCAAAAAAGUUGUGUCCUUUCUGGAUUAUGAAGAACCCUUGGGAAUGACUCUGGCUGUCUUGGCUGUGUUCUUUUCUUCUCUUACAGUUAUUAUACUCUGUAUCUUCUUGAAACACCGAGACACUCCCAUAGUCAAGGCCAAUAAUGAAACUCUCAGCUAUGUCCUACUCACCUCCCUCAUAUUUUGUUUUAUUUGUUCAUUGCUCUACAUUGGUUAUCCCACUAUGGUUAGCUGCAUCCUGCAACAGACCACAUUUGCCAUUGUGUUCACUGUGGCUGCCUCUUGUGUCUUAGCCAAGACAAUUACUGUAGUCCUAGCAUUUAAGAUCACUGUUCCAGGAAGAAGACUGAGGUGGCUGCUACUUUCCGGAGCACCUAAUUACAUCAUUCCCAUAUGCACCACAAUACAAAUGAUUCUCUGUGGAAUCUGGCUGGGAACUUCUCCUCCAUUUGUUGAUGUGGAUCUACACAUGAUACAUGGACACAUCAUCAUUGUUUGCAACAAAGGUUCAGUGAUUGCUUUUUACUGUGUCCUGGGUUACAUGGGCUCUCUUGCUCUAUCAAGUUUCACUGUAGCUUUCCUGGCCAGGAAUCUGCCUGACACAUUCAAUGAAGCCAAGCUCCUGACAUUCAGCAUGCUGGUGUUCUGCAGUGUCUGGAUCACCUUCCUCCCUGUUUAUCACAGUACUAAGGGAAAGACUAUGGUUGCUGUGGAGGUCUUCUGUAUCUUGGCCUCCAGUGCAGGGAUGCUUAUUUGCAUAUUUCUCCCAAAGUGCUACAUUAUUCUGUUGAGACCACAAAUAAAUUCU
RNAcentral lists this long non-coding RNA (2732 nucleotides) under Mus musculus (house mouse). RNAcentral's name for it is "predicted gene, 65452". The record is from RNAcentral. Lineage: Eukaryota; Metazoa; Chordata; Mammalia; Rodentia; Muridae.